UGCUGGGCCUGCUCACUCACUGGCUGUAGAAAUGAGAAAGGAGAUGAAGAAAAGGCCCUUCCCAUGGGUCCCCAUCUUGCCAAGACAUAGACCUCCACAACUGUGUUCAAGAACCUUCAGCCAGGGCCUCAUCUCCAAUCUGGAUAUAUGAUUUUUCUCGCCAAGAGUAGGCCUCCAGGUUUUGGAGUUCUAGAGGUUUCUCCUGGAGCUGCCUGGACCUCUGCUCCUCACCACCCCAGGACGCUGUGAAGCUGCAGGCUCCCUGAAUAAAUUCAUCCAGACCCCUUG
Molecule: long non-coding RNA, 288 nt
Organism: Mus musculus (house mouse)
Lineage: Eukaryota; Metazoa; Chordata; Mammalia; Rodentia; Muridae
Product: predicted gene, 35391
Exons: 2
Source: RefSeq, a predicted model, not a curated record